UUAGAUACUAUUUCAUUAGUAUUUUAUAAUUUUCAAUAUGCGAGUCCUGUGACUGUUUUGUUAAACUUACACAAAAGUAUUUCAUGUUUUUUGAGUUACUGUAAAUGAUGUUCUGUCUUUUGUUUGCUUGUUUUCUAAGUCCUGGAUGCCGCGUUCUUCUUCGGCUGCCUCAGGCUGGGAAGGGAGGAGGGAUGUCAGGAGGGCUAGGAGGGCUCGGUACCGCCCCGGCCCACACAGCUGCGCCAUAACUGGCUCCACCUGACCUGGAGCUGCCGGUCAGCCGCUAGGAUCUCAGGAUCAGGUGCGAGAAGACCCUUGCUGUGCAUGCGCACUGGAGCGCCUGGCGGUGAGGAGCUGGCGCUCGCACCAGGUCGGCGAGGUGGUGGCCGGGUCUUCAAGCCGGUUUCAGGGAAGUCUCCGGGGAGCCCUUUCUGGGACCUUCGGUGUGCCCACACUCUAUAAACCCGUGGAACUUCGAGAACUAUCUUGAAGAGCAGUGAUGACUGUGGGCACCCUUGCCUUUUUCCUGAUCUUUGGUGGGAAAAUUUCAGCCUUUCAUGAAUAAUGACAAACCACCAGGGAGUGGUGCAGCCCCCCACUUGAAAGGAGCCUGGGUCUCUAAGUUACCUCGUGGAAAAGAACCACUCAAGGAUUUGUAACACCACUUUUGCACUAUGUAAAUAAAUAAUAGUUUUGUAUUUUGUUUGAGACAUUGUAUGUUUUUUGAGGUGAGACAUUGUACAUUUUUUGAGUUUUUUAAAUAACAAUUUAGCCUACCCAGAUGAACACAGCAUGUUUUGGCUGGGGAGAGGUUCCCUUACAAGUUUGACUUCCUCAUUUUAGUCUGCUUCUAUAGUCUUAGUUCUUUACCAGCUUCUGGACUUCUAAAAGGCUUUGCCUGUGAAACAUCCUGAUGUGUUUUCUGGGUACUUUCCUGGUUCUUAAACGACUGUCUCACAUGCUCCUGAUUGACUUCUGGUAAGUGAUCAAUGGUCUGCUUAUACUUUGAUAGCUCUGCACCUCUUGACUCUUCAUCUAGACUCACUCUGAACUCCACAGUAACUGCAAACUUCUCGGACUCUCCUCAGUCUAGCCAGCUUCUAUAUCGGGCCUGUAUAUUUGUAUCGCAUAUAGCCCCACAGUCUGAUUUUCCCAACUUGUCUUGGAUUGAGAGUUAAUGUAUCAUCUCAUAAAGUCCUGUUGGAAGACUCGAAAUGCCAGAAGCCAAGUAUCUAGGAGAUCGUAUCUGGCUAUAUGAAGUUGCAGAGAGAGAUUCUGUUGCAGAGAGAGAUUCAUAGCGUUCUGCUCAAGAGGGUAAGCUUUCAAGUCAAGUCACCUGCUUUCCAGUCCUGGCUUCCUCACUUGCUAGUUGUAAAUUAUAAGUUUUAAGUGACCUAGGGAAAGUUUCUGAACUUAGUUAUUUCCAUAAUUUCUACAAAUAUCUGAGUUUAUCAUCUGUAAAAUGUUAUCUUUUCUAUUAUAAUGGGAUCUACUCAUCUUGUGACCAGAAAAACAUGCCUAAAAAACUGCUGUAGGCACUCAAGAAGCAUUUGUACAAAGAGUUAAAUGGAUAUGCAGCUCAGCAUUCUUAAUGAUACUUAAUUUGAGCCAUUCUAAUGAUUUUAAUCUUCUCUCUUAUCUCCCUUUUUAAGAGUAGUGUUUACCAGCUCCUCUAAUAUCUUACUCAAUAAAUGUUUGGAUAAAGUAAUAACAUAGUAAUGAGAAAAUAAUAUAAGAAGAAUUGAAAAUGCACAUUUCUUUUGUUUAUUGAGAUAUAAUUGAUGCAUAACAUUAUAUUGCACAUUUCUAUUUGUAGUUCUCAGAAUUUUAUUGCAUCUCCUUUGGAGUCUUCCUAAAUUUUUAAAUAAUGCUUCUAAAGUUCUUUAGGAAAUUGGCAUGUAAUUGGUACCUGUUAGAAAGUAGGCCAACUUGCUGAGCAAAAAAACAAAAAGAAAGCAAAAGCAUAACAAACACACAUAAAUAAGGAAACAAAAAUAGCCAUAAAAUGGUUUGAAAGUAAUAGAAGUUUAUUCCUGAUUCAUGUACCAGUGCUGGCAUGUAACAGGGUGGCGGAGUGGCCCUCCUUCAGCUAAUCAUGCAUGGUUAACACUGGCUUUCAGGAUCAUCCUGAGAAUUAGCUCCAUUUCAGCUACUGAGAAAGGCAAAUGAUCACGGAAGAGCUUCCAAAGGAAGAGUUUAUGCUCUAGGCCUGGAACAGCUGCAUGUUACUUCUGCCCACGUUCCAACCGGCUAGCAGUCACAUGGCCACAAGCAAGUUCAGUGGAGCCUUGGAACUUUCUCCAGGAACAGGAGAAGCUCCUGAAUUUUGGAGAGAAGCUAACAAUCUCUGUCACGAAAAUCUUGUCAUCUCCUAGUUCAUUUUCUAAUUGAUUCCUGCUUCACAGAAGAUUAGUCCAAUCGAUUUGCAUUUUACUAACCUUAGAUUUGUCACAGAGUUCACAACAUGUGAAUACAAUAAUCAAAGGUAGAAUUAUUUAAGCAAAUUUAUAUGGUAAACAAUAAUGUUCUCUACCUCAAUGAGAACCUAUCGACAUAUGUUUUGAUCACUGUAAUCAUAAAUUAUUAAUGAGUGAUAUUUUAAGCAUCUCCCAUAUUUAUUGUUUAGCUAUUUACAAUCGUUGUAGACAAUUUAAAAUUGUACAAUGGUUUUUAAAAACUUUUUAGAUCUCCUUGUAAUUUUGAUGAGAGACUUCCUUGUUGCUUUUUUCGCAGUGUUACUAAAAAAAUGCAUUUCUAGGUGGCAUUUCAAUUUAGCGGAGGAAUGAAUUAUUUAGUAAAGUUACUAGCACAAGUGUUAAUCAUCUGGAAGAAAAUGUAGUUUGACUAUUUAGUCAGCUACAUUCAGAAAUAAAGUUUUAAAAGAUUUGAGUUUAAAAAAAACAUUAAAAGACUUAGAGGAAACCCUGAGAGGGAAGCUAUAUCUACGUUAAAAUAAAAAUUUUAAAAAACCUGAAUCUAUGGAAAAAAACUUUAUAGAAAAUUAUGCUAUUCAAUGAAGUAAAGGAAAAGAUUGAUGGAAAAAAAUAUUGCAACUCUAGGUCAGAUAAAUAGUUUAUAAUGUACAAUUCUUUGAAAUUAAUGAAACAAAAAAAUAAGCAUAAGAUAUUUGAUGGAAAAAUACAAAUUCAAAAAGAUAGGCAUUCAAAGAACAGCAAAUAUAAAUGAUCGAAAAUUAUAAAAUCGUAUUAUACAACAAUAAUAGGGAAAUCCAUUGUAAAGGAAAACAUCUCUUUUUUCACUUCUCAGAAUUUCUAAAAUUUAAGUGUGAAAAUCCUUCGAGCUAUGGUGCUCUAAUACAUUGUGGGUAGAAAUGUGAAUAGGUACAGAUAUUUGGGGAUAUUAUCAGACAUUAUCUAUUAAAUCAAAAGAUGCUUAUGCUCUGUGACCCACAAACCAUACUCAUGAGAUUCUAUCUUAUAUAAAUCAAGCUAACAAUAUAUCAUAUUACAGUAACAGAUACAUUUAUUACAGCAUUGUUUCCAGUGCAAAGAAACUGGAAACAAUCUGACAAAGGGAAUAAUCGAAUAUGAUGUUCCAUACCACGGACUACUUUGCAGCCAAAAGAAAUAAGUUACAGCUUUCUCAUAUUUUCUCAGAAGGGUUGCAAUGAUGUAUUUUUUGGGCGUGUAAACCAAGCAGAGAGAUGUAUAAAAUGAACCAUUUUUGUAAUAUAACUACUAAUACAUUUCUACUAAGUGCAUAAUUUAAAGUGUACAUAUUUAAAUUAUUACAUACUUACUUUGUGGGUAUUGUGGACAGAUUGAAUCUGUAAGCAGCAUAAAAGUAAAUUAAAAAGUUAAAUUCAUAUCACUAUGUUCUAUUAAUUUUCUUUUGCUGCACAAAAAAUCACCACAAACUAAAUGGCUUAAAAUACCACAGUGUUACUCUCCCACAGUUUCUGAGGUUCAGUGGUUCUGCCAGGUCCUCUGCUUGGAGUCCCACUAGGCUGCAGGCAAGGUUUUGCCUGGUGCUGCACUGCCUUCAGGUGCCGGGGUUCCUUUGUGAAGGCUGUGGGCUGGCUAUUAACAGAAUUCAAUUCCUUGUGGCUAUAGGACUGAGGUCCCUCUUUGUUUUGUUUUGUUUUGCUGGCUGUCAGCUGGGGGCUCUCUCAGGUCCUAGCUGUUGCCCUUAUUUCUUUGCCAUGUGUUCCCAUAAGCAACUCACAACAUGGUGGCAGUUCGAUCCUUCUUUGGGACCAGCAGGAUAGUGUCUCUUUCUUUCUUUCACUGCUUCAUUUUCUUUCAAAGGGUUCACCUCGUUAGGUUAGGCCACCCAAAUUCUCUCUCUCUUGCUUCACCCAAAGUCAACUGAUUAGUGUCCUAAUCACAGAAGUAAUAUCUUGUCACAUUCACCUAUCCUGCUCGCACUCAGGGGAGGAGAUUAUAGAAGAUGUGGACACCAGAGGACAGAAAUCAUGAGGACCAUCUUAUUCUGCUUGCUGCAACAGACCACAGCAAAAAAAGGUUUAAAUCAUAUGAUCCAACUUUGAUAGCAGUGUAUAUAUGCAUCUACAAUUAGAUAAAAAAUAUGUGAAA
Molecule: non-coding RNA, 4556 nt
Organism: Equus caballus (horse)
Lineage: Eukaryota; Metazoa; Chordata; Mammalia; Perissodactyla; Equidae
Source: RefSeq, a predicted model, not a curated record